GGGGGGGGCAAGCGUUGUUCGGAAUUACUGGGCGUAAAGGGCUCGUAGGUGGCCAACUCAGUCAGACGUGAAAUCCCUCGGCUUAACCGGGGAACUGCGUCUGAUACUGGAUGGCUUGAGGUUGGGAGAGGGAUGCGGAAUUCCAGGUGUAGCGGUGAAAUGCGUAGAUAUCUGGAGGAACACCGGUGGCGAAGGCGGCAUCCUGGACCAAUUCUGACACUGAGGAGCGAAAGCCAGGGGAGCAAACGGGAUUAGAUACCCCGGUAGUCCUGGCCCUAAACGAUGAAUGCUUGGUGUGGCGGGUAUCGAUCCCUGCCGUGCCGAAGSKAACGCAUUAAGCAUUCCGCCUGGGGAGUACGGU
This 361-nucleotide ribosomal RNA is filed under the name uncultured bacterium. Its description in RNAcentral is "bacterial SSU rRNA". It matches the Rfam family "Bacterial small subunit ribosomal RNA", at positions 527 to 886 of the family's 1533-position model. The record is from RNAcentral.